Long non-coding RNA from Aegilops tauschii subsp. strangulata, 2939 nucleotides. RefSeq lists it as uncharacterized. The record is from RefSeq and is a predicted model, not a curated record. NCBI's taxonomy places the organism in Eukaryota, Viridiplantae, Streptophyta, Magnoliopsida, Poales, Poaceae.
UCAACGAAGCAAUCGACCCUUCUGGAAAAAAGUGGAAUCGAAGUGGCAGCGGCAGCGGCUGCCGCUCUGCACGCCACCGGCGCCCUCCGCUCCCGACUCCUCUCUGCCACGGCAGCCUCGCCGCACACCGCCACACCCACACCCACCUCCACCUUCCUUCCUCCCCCUACCCCGUCUUCUACGACGCCGACAUCGUCAAGUACACCGCCGGCGCCAUCCGUCCGCCAAGUCUGCAACGCAUCUGCUGCCUACACCUCCGAUGCAGCAGACUCGAUGCCCAGCACAUCUCCCUUCUCACCGCCGUCUCCUCCUCCCCCCCCCCCCCCCCCCCCCCUUCUCAUUCGACACCGACGUCGGCAAGUACGCCGUCGGCGCCGUCCGUCCCCGGAGUCUGCGAGGACUCUCCUGCUUCCCCAUCCGAGGCUCAGAUGCAGCAGUCCCGCCGCCCACCACCUCCCCUCUCCUCGCCGACCUCCACGUACGCUGCUACGCACUACGCAUCCUCGGCGACAGCGCCGCCACCUACUACUCCCUCCCGGCAGACGCGCUCCACGGCCAUCCCCUUCGAGUAUGCGCUGCUCCCCUAGGACCUCUAUGCCGUCUGCAAUUGGUCUCUCCUCCCACAUGAGUCCUCUGUUUCAUUACUUGCGCACCUGCUGCUAUCACCAUCCCGAUUGGAAGCCCUCAGCCUGGCAAGAGAUUUUUGUGAAUUGAAGUACUCGACCAUGUUUGGGGUCAAAUAGCAGUAUCCAAUCUACUACAUGGUGUAUCAAUAUCAGGAUGUGCUUCAAGGAGGCCCGGGGUACUCCAUGCAGCCCCUGAAACCCCAAUUGAAUUGGAUGUUCAUGGAGUUGGUAUGGUCUAAUUGGCAAAACAUUGCUGCCAGGUAUUUCAUCUGGUGUGCUUUUGGUGUUUUUUGGAGCAGAAAACGAGAUGCAAGUUUGAUUCAGAAUCACAUGCUCUGUUUCUUCACAUUUCCCUACAUAUGUAGUACUGCACUGCCAUGUUUCUCUCAUUGCAUAGGGUGCAGUUAGGCAGGUACUGAUUAUAAAAAAAAUCAUUGGUACGUAUCCAUGCAGUUUGUUUAAUUUGGCCAAGACACUCACAAGUUUUUGAGCAUAUUCUUCAUAGAGCCAUGCCCAUAGUUUUGAUGAAUAUUACAAGCUACAAAUUUAGGUCUAUUUCCAACAUAAAAUGUGACAUCAUGUUUUAUCUGCUCAAAUUAUGUUUCGAUUAUGCAUGAAUCUAUGUUGAUAAUUAACCUAUGAUGCCUACUUUCAGUUACCAAUUAAACAUAUUGGGUUACGUUUGCUCCUUUUAAGUAAGCAGGAAAUGUAAGAGAGAUCAGACUAAAAAAUUCAUGCUUCCUCUUGCUAUUAUAUAUCUUUGUAAACACUAUUAUGCUUGCUGCUCUGCCAUGAGCAGUUAUAGUUUCUGAUUGCUCCUUUGGUGACACAAUAGCCUUAAUUCAUUGCUUGGCACUCUCAUGCUAGAUUACAUGCAGGCAUGUGCGCCGUCAGGAAACUGUGCGGACAGUGGGUCAACAUGUCCAUGGUCAUUACCUAGCUCGUGCUGCACCGAUGCUGCUGGUCGUUGUUGUUGAUGACCUCCAGCAUAGUUAUGUUCAUGUUACAUGAGAAGGUUGAGUUCUGCAAGAGAGACUGGACAUGUGCAGACUACUUGGUUAGUGCAGGUCAACUGGGACUCAUGGGACUUCCAGCGUGGAUGGAACGAGACACUCAUGUCCCCGCCUUUCCAAAUGGCGACAUAAGUACCCCAGAAUGCGCUUGCCUUAAAGAGAUAACUUUUUCAUGACAAAUUUCCAUUACUUCAACACGCUCCUUCUAUCUCCUUGAUGAUGUUAAUAUUCCUAAACUCAUAUGUACUUAACACUUCUCUCUAUCACACAUGAGCAAUUAAUUUUUCUCUAAUGUUUCCAUUUGCAUAACAGAGUAGUACCUUUGUUCCAUUACUCAUGUUGAUAUAUUUGUGCUCUCCAAGAUUUCAGUUCACAUAUCAAUUUUAAUCUUUGCAUGUAAAUUUUGAUAAUGUGUAAGGUUUAUAUGCUUUUAUCCCAUUGAAAACUUGCUUUAAUUCCUCGGAUGAUAAUCCUGCUGUUAAACCCAUGUCGUGUUUACUAAAUAAUUUGCCUCCUACAGUGUGCUUCUGUCAUAAUGCCUGAUUUGCUUAUACGGACAAUAAUGACUAGAUCUAUGAACCCAUAUAUCAGUCGCUUAGAUAGCUUCAUUUUUUUUCCUAAUCUAGAUUUGGAAAGAAUUAGUAACGGGUAACAUCAUUGCUGAACUACAGUAUGGAUGUACUGUUGAUAUUGCACCUUGCAACCACAUACAUGGUUGUCUUCUCGGGCUUUCGAGGCACGCACACGUAUUUAUGGUUCUGGUUCAAGUUUAGUUUAAUAAUCUACACUUGCAAUUAAUAUUGUCUUUCAAGUAAAUUCAACAUCGUGUUAUCCCAUAUGAACAUGAUAUAACCCUAUUGCAUAUGAAGCUUUCAACAAUUCACGGCAAUUCCUCAUGGUUCUUUUUUCGUGUGCAGGCCCUAAGAUACAUGUGUUGUCGAACAUGAGACUCCCUAAGGUGUGGAGCUAGAAGAGGUGGCGUUUCCAAAGGCAGUGCCAGCUAAUGCAUGGAUGGCCAACGAAGCUAAUGCAUGGAUGGCCAACGAAGCUAAUGCAUGGAUUUUUUUUCCUCACAAAAGUAAAGAUGUCAAGGCACAACUUGCUGGCGGAACCAAGCAUGUUGACCAUUGCAAUUUGAAGGCAUAUAUUGCCGAACAUGGGAUGAUUUGUGUAGUUUUGUAGCAAUACAAAUGCGCUUUGGGAUGUAAAUUUUGCAGCAAUACGCUUUGGGAUUAAAUGGAUGGGUGAAUGAAGAGAGGGAAAAAAAGUAUGUCCUAAGUAGAAUGAUUAUCUAGAGAAA